Molecule: ribosomal RNA, 497 nt
Filed under: uncultured bacterium
Lineage: Bacteria
Description: partial 16S ribosomal RNA
Rfam family: Bacterial small subunit ribosomal RNA
Source: RNAcentral
GAUGAACGCUGGCGGCGUGCCUAAUACAUGCAAGUCGAGCGAACGGACGAGAAGCUUGCUUCUCUGAUGUUAGCGGCGGACGGGUGAGUAACACGUGGAUAACCUACCUAUAAGACUGGGAUAACUUCGGGAAACCGGAGCUAAUACCGGAUAAUAUUUUGAACCGCAUGGUUCAAAAGUGAAAGACGGUCUUGCUGUCACUUAUAGAUGGAUCCGCGCUGCAUUAGCUAGUUGGUAAGGUAACGGCUUACCAAGGCAACGAUGCAUAGCCGACCUGAGAGGGUGAUCGGCCACACUAGAACUGAGACACGGUCCAGACUCCUACGGGAGGCAGCAGUAGGGAAUCUUCCGCAAUGGGCGAAAGCCUGACGGAGCAACGCCGCGUGAGUGAUGGAGGUCUUCGGAUCGUAAAACUCUGUUAUUAGGGAAGAACAUAUGUGUAAGUAACUGUGCACAUCUUGACGGUACCUAAUCAGAACGCCACGGCUAACUACGUG